RNAcentral lists this ribosomal RNA (253 nucleotides) under uncultured bacterium. Its description in RNAcentral is "partial 16S ribosomal RNA". It matches the Rfam family "Bacterial small subunit ribosomal RNA", at positions 524 to 776 of the family's 1533-position model. The record is from RNAcentral.
UACGUAGGGUGCGAGCGUUAAUCGGAAUUACUGGGCGUAAAGCGUGCGCAGGCGGCUUUGCAAGACAGAUGUGAAAUCCCCGGGCUCAACCUGGGAACUGCAUUUGUGACUGCAAGGCUAGAGUACGGCAGAGGGGGAUUGAAUUCCGCGUGUAGCAGUGAAAUGCGUAGAUAUGCGGAGGAACACCAAUGGCGAAGGCAAUCCCCUGGGCCUGUACUGACGCUCAUGCACGGAAGCGUGGGGAGCAAACAGG